GUAUAUGUGUUGAAGAAGAAGAGUACAUGGAAAGUUAAUUUAGGCAUCUGAAAUAAAUAACAAGUAAAAGAUGCCGUAUAGAGAUCUAAGGAGGGUGAAAACUUAGAAUUUAACUCUGUGGAAGGAAGCUUUGGAGCAAUAAAUAGAAAGUCAAAUUUGAUGUAGUAUAUUUAUGGGGUAAUUCCCUUAAAAAUAAUUAAGUUGGGUUAAGGAAACUUAACCAAUUUAGGUGGUAACGCGGAAAAUAGCCUUUCGUCCUAAGA
This 263-nucleotide non-coding RNA is filed under the name Clostridium sp. RNAcentral describes it as "T-box sequence". It matches the Rfam family "T-box leader". From Rfam's summary of the family: Uncharged tRNA acts as the effector for transcription antitermination of genes in the T-box leader family. The record is from RNAcentral. Lineage: Bacteria; Bacillati; Bacillota; Clostridia; Eubacteriales; Clostridiaceae.